AAGGGGUGUAUUUAUUAGAUUAAAAACCAAUGCCCUUCGGGGCUCUCUGGUGAUUCAUAAUAACUUCUCGAAUCGCAUGGCCUUGUGCCGGCGAUGGUUCAUUCAAAUUUCUGCCCUAUCAACUUUCGAUGGCAGGGUCUUGGCCUGCCAUGGUUACAACGGGUAACNGGAGGGUUAGGGCUCGACCCCGGAGAAGGAGCCUGAGAAACGGCUACUACAUCCAAGGAAGGCAGCAGGCGCGCAAAUUACCCAAUCCCGAUUCGGGGAGGUAGUGACAAUAAAUACUGAUACAGGGCUCUUUUGGGUCUUGUAAUUGGAAUGAGUACAAUUUAAAUCCCUUAACGAGGAACAAUUGGAGGGCAAGUCUGGUGCCAGCAGCCGCGGUAAUUCCAGCUCCAAUAGCGUAUAUUAAAGUUGUUGCAGUUAAAAAGCUCGUAGUUGAACCUUGGGCCUGGCUGGCCGGUCCGCCUCACCGCGUGCACUGGUUCGGCCGGGCCUUUCCCUCUGGGGAACCUCAUGCCCUUCACUGGGUGUGAUGGGGAACCAGGACUUUUACA
RNAcentral lists this ribosomal RNA (557 nucleotides) under uncultured fungus. Its description in RNAcentral is "SSU rRNA". It matches the Rfam family "Eukaryotic small subunit ribosomal RNA", at positions 196 to 756 of the family's 1831-position model. Lineage: Eukaryota; Fungi. The record is from RNAcentral.